This 816-nucleotide ribosomal RNA is filed under the name Triticum aestivum (bread wheat). RNAcentral's name for it is "partial small subunit ribosomal RNA". The stretch from base 373 to 511 matches the Rfam family "Small nucleolar RNA Z247". Lineage: Eukaryota; Viridiplantae; Streptophyta; Magnoliopsida; Poales; Poaceae. The record is from RNAcentral.
AUGGGGACCGGUCUCUUUGGGCACAUCGACAAAACCAUAGCCGAACCACCAAGAACCCUAACCAGCAAAACCUCCGAGGGCAAAGAUCGGGUUGUUCCAAAUCCUGCUUAUGCGCCUUGGUUGAUCCAAGAUCAGCAGAUCAUUGCCUACCUGCUCCGCAAUCUCUCCAAGGAAGUGUUAGUUCAGGUAGCAUCCUUAGAAACCUCUGCCGCCAUAUGGUCAGCUCUUUCCAACAUGUUCUCUACCCAAUCCAGAUCCAAAACCAAUCAUGUUCGCAUAUCUCUCACCACUGCCCAGAAAGGAACCCAAUCUACUGCUGUGUACUUCGGGCAUAUGCGCGGUCUCGCUGAUGAGCUAGCUGCAGCAGGAAAACCCAUCACAGAGAACGAACUCGUCUCCCACAUCAUAUCUGGUCUUGACAUGGACUAUCGACCAAUCAUCUCUGCACUUGAGGUGCGUCUUGAUGAUGUCACCGUCGAUGAGCUCUUCAACAUGGUGGCUACCUUUGAUCAGAGGGUAGAGAUGUUCCAGGGCACGGGUGCUGGUGCCUUCAAAUCAUCAGCCAACGUUGCAUCACGCGGCCAUGGAGGUGGCUCGACCAAGGGCUAUCGCGGCGGCGGUGGCGGCGGUCCUCGUCGUGGCUCUGGAAAUGGCGGCGGCGGAGGCUACCCCAACAACGGCGGCAGCAAAGGCUACUAUGGCGACCACGGCAACCACUAUGGUGGUGGCGGUGGCAGCCACUACUCCAACAACAAUUAUCAGGGAGGAGGCCGACUAAAAGUACAUGUAGUCCCCAUGUGUGGUUUUGGUAAUUAA